This 492-nucleotide ribosomal RNA is filed under the name uncultured bacterium. Its description in RNAcentral is "partial 16S ribosomal RNA". It matches the Rfam family "Bacterial small subunit ribosomal RNA", at positions 29 to 507 of the family's 1533-position model. The record is from RNAcentral.
AGUGAACGCUGGCGAUAGGCCUAACACAUGCAAGUCGAACGGCAGCACAGUAAGAGCUUGCUCUUACGGGUGGCGAGUGGCGGACGGGUGAGGAAUACAUCGGAAUCUACUUUUUCGUGGGGGAUAACGUAGGGAAACUUACGCUAAUACCGCAUACGACCUACGGGUGAAAGCAGGGGAUCUUCGGACCUUGCGCGAUUGAAUGAGCCGAUGUCGGAUUAGCUAGUUGGCGGGGUAAAGGCCCACCAAGGCGACGAUCCGUAGCUGGUCUGAGAGGAUGAUCAGCCACACUGGAACUGAGACACGGUCCAGACUCCUACGGGAGGCAGCAGUGGGGAAUAUUGGACAAUGGGCGCAAGCCUGAUCCAGCCAUACCGCGUGGGUGAAGAAGGCCUUCGGGUCGUAAAGCCCUUUUGUUGGGAAAGAAAAGCAGCAGGUUAAUACCCCGCUGUUCUGACGGUACCCAAAGAAUAAGCACCGGCUAACUUCGUG